CUGUAGAUGAUGGCUGAGCAGAUACAAGCAGUUCAAGUUGGUGUUAGUGGUACUGCAAUGUCUUCGUCUGUUUCUUCUGUGUUUGUGAAGUGCACUGCUACUGGAAACCUUUAUUUGAUGAGGUGAAAGUGAUUCGCAGGAAUAUGAUACAGAUUUGGAUGGGCAGCAAGAAUCCGAUGAAACUGGAACAGAUUCAAGCCCACCUUCAACUCAAGAUGAGAAAAUGGAUCCAGAUGAUUAAGAGUGGUAUACAUGUACAGAAAUUACCAAAUUUUCUUUCCACCAGGUUUUGUUUUCCUGAGAUGGAAAUCAAAAGUUAUUUAGGCUGCAACAACCUCUUCGUCGGAUGAAAUUAGUUGCUGGAUUGUGACUGCCGUCUCAAAGUUUUGAUUUGAGGGUGAGAUACAUUUCUUUCUCUUGUAGAUAUACAAGCAGCUCUAUAAAUAAGGUAUGUGUCCUCCUCUCAGUUGAUGGAUGAGUUCGUUCGUACCAUAGAACGAUUCCCUCGCUUGCAAGAACUUUGUUAAGCUAUAGAAGCUUCACUGCAGAUUCUUGGUUCUCCUACUCUGAGAGAGCCUCUAGCAAGGAAGUGGUUGCAAACCUUCCAACAAUCAUUGUGACAGAGGAAACCUUAACGAGGUUGAGCCUUGGUAUAGAAUGUGCUGUUUGCAGCGAGAACUUGGUUAUAAAUGA
Long non-coding RNA from Papaver somniferum (opium poppy), 693 nucleotides. RefSeq lists it as uncharacterized. The transcript is spliced from 3 exons. NCBI's taxonomy places the organism in Eukaryota, Viridiplantae, Streptophyta, Magnoliopsida, Ranunculales, Papaveraceae. The record is from RefSeq and is a predicted model, not a curated record.